Non-coding RNA from Acanthosepion pharaonis, 114 nucleotides. The record is from the annotation of a GenBank genome assembly. NCBI's taxonomy places the organism in Eukaryota, Metazoa, Mollusca, Cephalopoda, Sepiida, Sepiidae.
UUACGACCACAUCACGCUGAAACAUCAGAUUCCGUACGAUCCUCGAAGUUAAGCAACGUCGAGUCUGGUCAGUACCUAGAUGGGUGACCACUAGGGAAUACCAGAUGCUGUAAG